CCUCGCUGAGCAGAGAGCCCAGUGUGGGGCUCAAUCCCAGAACCUUGAGAUCAUGACCUGAGCCGAAGGCUGAGACUUAACCCAAUGAGCUACCCAGUCGCCCUUGUAUUUCCUCAUUUUUAAAAAGAG
This is a long non-coding RNA of Mustela erminea (ermine), 129 nucleotides long. RefSeq lists it as uncharacterized. The transcript has 3 exons. The record is from RefSeq and is a predicted model, not a curated record. NCBI's taxonomy places the organism in Eukaryota, Metazoa, Chordata, Mammalia, Carnivora, Mustelidae.